Molecule: ribosomal RNA, 468 nt
Filed under: uncultured bacterium
Lineage: Bacteria
Description: partial 16S ribosomal RNA
Rfam family: Bacterial small subunit ribosomal RNA
Source: RNAcentral
GACGAACGCUGGCGGCGUGCUUAACACAUGCCAGUCGAACGGAAAGGCCCUGCUUUUGUGGGGUGCUCGAGUGGCGAACGGGUGAGUAACACGUGAGUAACCUGCCCUUGACUUUGGGAUAACUUCAGGAAACUGGGGCUAAUACCGGAUAGGAGCUCCUGCUGCAUGGUGGGGGUUGGAAAGUUUCGGCGGUUGGGGAUGGACUCGCGGCUUAUCAGCUUGUUGGUGGGGUAGUGGCUUACCAAGGCUUUGACGGGUAGCCGGCCUGAGAGGGUGACCGGCCACAUUGGGACUGAGAUACGGCCCAGACUCCUACGGGAGGCAGCAGUGGGGAAUAUUGCACAAUGGGCGGAAGCCUGAUGCAGCAACGCCGCGUGCGGGAUGACGGCCUUCGGGUUAUAAACCGCUUUCGCCUGUGACGAAGCGUGAGUGACGGUAAUGGGUAAAGAAGCAACGGCUAACUACGUG